RNAcentral lists this ribosomal RNA (441 nucleotides) under uncultured bacterium. RNAcentral's name for it is "bacterial SSU rRNA". It matches the Rfam family "Bacterial small subunit ribosomal RNA", at positions 958 to 1399 of the family's 1533-position model. The record is from RNAcentral.
AACGCGAAGAACCUUACCAGGACUUGACAUGGAGUCGUCGUGUUCAGAGAUGGACAUUCCCGCAAGGGCGGCUCGCACAGGUGCUGCAUGGCUGUCGUCAGCUCGUGUCGUGAGAUGUUGGGUUAAGUCCCGCAACGAGCGCAACCCUCGCCUUUAGUUGCCAUCAGGUUUGGCUGGGCACUCUAAAGGAACUGCCGGUGACAAGCCGGAGGAAGGUGGGGAUGACGUCAAGUCCUCAUGGCCCUUAUGUCCUGGGCUACACACGUGCUACAAUGGCGGUGACAGUGGGAAGCUACUCGGCGACGAGGUGCUGAUCUCUAAAAGCCGUCUCAGUUCGGAUUGCACUCUGCAACUCGGGUGCAUGAAGGUGGAAUCGCUAGUAAUCGCGGAUCAGCAUGCCGCGGUGAAUACGUUCCCAGGCCUUGUACACACCGCUCGCGA